This 1437-nucleotide ribosomal RNA is filed under the name Limosilactobacillus fermentum. RNAcentral describes it as "bacterial SSU rRNA". It matches the Rfam family "Bacterial small subunit ribosomal RNA". Lineage: Bacteria; Bacillati; Bacillota; Bacilli; Lactobacillales; Lactobacillaceae. The record is from RNAcentral.
AAGUCGAACGCGUUGGCCCAAUUGAUUGAUGGUGCUUGCACCUGAUUGAUUUUGGUCGCCAACGAGUGGCGGACGGGUGAGUAACACGUAGGUAACCUGCCCAGAAGCGGGGGACAACAUUUGGAAACAGAUGCUAAUACCGCAUAACAGCGUUGUUCGCAUGAACAACGCUUAAAAGAUGGCUUCUCGCUAUCACUUCUGGAUGGACCUGCGGUGCAUUAGCUUGUUGGUGGGGUAACGGCCUACCAAGGCGAUGAUGCAUAGCCGAGUUGAGAGACUGAUCGGCCACAAUGGGACUGAGACACGGCCCAUACUCCUACGGGAGGCAGCAGUAGGGAAUCUUCCACAAUGGGCGCAAGCCUGAUGGAGCAACACCGCGUGAGUGAAGAAGGGUUUCGGCUCGUAAAGCUCUGUUGUUAAAGAAGAACACGUAUGAGAGUAACUGUUCAUACGUUGACGGUAUUUAACCAGAAAGUCACGGCUAACUACGUGCCAGCAGCCGCGGUAAUACGUAGGUGGCAAGCGUUAUCCGGAUUUAUUGGGCGUAAAGAGAGUGCAGGCGGUUUUCUAAGUCUGAUGUGAAAGCCUUCGGCUUAACCGGAGAAGUGCAUCGGAAACUGGAUAACUUGAGUGCAGAAGAGGGUAGUGGAACUCCAUGUGUAGCGGUGGAAUGCGUAGAUAUAUGGAAGAACACCAGUGGCGAAGGCGGCUACCUGGUCUGCAACUGACGCUGAGACUCGAAAGCAUGGGUAGCGAACAGGAUUAGAUACCCUGGUAGUCCAUGCCGUAAACGAUGAGUGCUAGGUGUUGGAGGGUUUCCGCCCUUCAGUGCCGGAGCUAACGCAUUAAGCACUCCGCCUGGGGAGUACGACCGCAAGGUUGAAACUCAAAGGAAUUGACGGGGGCCCGCACAAGCGGUGGAGCAUGUGGUUUAAUUCGAAGCUACGCGAAGAACCUUACCAGGUCUUGACAUCUUGCGCCAACCCUAGAGAUAGGGCGUUUCCUUCGGGAACGCAAUGACAGGUGGUGCAUGGUCGUCGUCAGCUCGUGUCGUGAGAUGUUGGGUUAAGUCCCGCAACGAGCGCAACCCUUGUUACUAGUUGCCAGCAUUAAGUUGGGCACUCUAGUGAGACUGCCGGUGACAAACCGGAGGAAGGUGGGGACGACGUCAGAUCAUCAUGCCCCUUAUGACCUGGGCUACACACGUGCUACAAUGGACGGUACAACGAGUCGCGAACUCGCGAGGGCAAGCAAAUCUCUUAAAACCGUUCUCAGUUCGGACUGCAGGCUGCAACUCGCCUGCACGAAGUCGGAAUCGCUAGUAAUCGCGGAUCAGCAUGCCGCGGUGAAUACGUUCCCGGGCCUUGUACACACCGCCCGUCACACCAUGAGAGUUUGUAACACCCAAAGUCGGUGGGGUAACCUUUAGGAGCCAGC